Long non-coding RNA from Pangasianodon hypophthalmus (striped catfish), 698 nucleotides. RefSeq lists it as uncharacterized. The transcript has 3 exons. The record is from RefSeq and is a predicted model, not a curated record. NCBI's taxonomy places the organism in Eukaryota, Metazoa, Chordata, Actinopteri, Siluriformes, Pangasiidae.
AUAUUCUGUCUUAGACUCUUAGUUCUGCAUCUUUUGUUCUCCAUUUCAAUGCUUAUAUACACAGGUGGUUUUUGAUCAUCAAAUUCAGCUGCAUGUGAGUGUACAGUGGGUUUAUUCAGCAUGGCUGUGUCUUAUGGACAAUUCCCACGGACUUGUGUGUGGAUCUCCACUCUUUUUUUUUUCAAUAUAAUGCUCCUGAGGGACAAUUUGCCCAACUGUUUUUUGUCCACUCUACAGUAUAUGCAGUGCUGCUAAGUCAAGUGGAAAAAGUGUCAAAUGUCUGUCCAUUCAUCUUCAUCAGAGGUCCACUGUGAAACCAGACAGGAGCAAACCAUAGAAACCCAACUGCAAGGAAAUAUGAGCCCCCUCUUCCUUCUCACCAUGUGCCUGAAUGAGAUACCAUAUGCAUCUUUUUACACUGUAUAUGUGAGCAAGUAUGUAUAGGGUGUCUGUGUGUGUGCGUGAGAGCAAAUAUGCGCUGUCCACUGGGAACAAUAUCCUGGUGCUGAUGAGUGUGACGAGAAAAAACUCCAGCAUCAGUGAUUUUGUUGCAAGAGGAGCGUCCCAACCACACUGACCAUCCUCUCAGUACGACUCAGUGCUGAUGGACUUUCUGCAUAUAAUCCAAGAUACAUGCAGUAAAUAAAAGUUUUGUCCACACAGAGAUUGUCUGCAGACAAUCGAGACAAGCUUCUCCA